ACUUCGGCAUACAAAAAGCACGCCACCCCACCCCGGCCUCAACCAACGACCCACGCUUCCCGCGGAGACGACGAGACCCGUCGAUCGAUCGACCGAUCCAGACGACGACGAGUCUUCUCAGCGGGCACACACACAGAGCGCGCGGCGGUUGCCACCAUCGAGCAAAGCAAGAAGGAGGCCACCGCCACGCUCGAUCGACUCCGUCUCCUCUCCCGGGCUUUUCUCCCCGGGACCCGAUCGACCUAUUCUUAGGCGCCCCGCCGAAGAAAACCGCGGCGCCCCGGGUUUCGCUCGCAGGGCUAUGGCCGCGGCCGCGACGUCGUCCACCACACCCGCGGCAACCACCUCCACCACCACCACCACCACCUGCUGCUCCUCGUCGUCCUCGUCCUCGUCGUCCUCCUGCUCCGCCACCAGCCCCGGCCCGCACCGCAGGCGCCUCAACGACAUCGAGCGCGGCGACGACUGCUGCUGCGGGGGCGGCGACCCCUUCCUCGCCCUCGAGGACGGCGAGGGCGCCCACGGCCACGGCGUCCCCUUGCUGGCCGCCGGCGCGGCCUGCGGCGGGAGGGCGUCGCUGUUGGCGCGGAGGAGGCGCGCCGCGUGGCUCGCCUGGAUGAGGGCCGCCGUGCUGUGCCUGCUCGGCCUCGUCGCGGUCGUCGGCGUCCUGGGCUCCCAGUCCCAAGGCGGCCGGGGAGGCAGCGGCGCCGCGGCCGGCGCCGACGGCGAGGAGGGCGGCAGGCUCGUGCAGAGGGUGGAGGUGGCCGACGCCGACGUCAUGGGGUGGACGGAGGAGAACUUGACGGCACUCACGCGCCGCCCGCCCGAUCCUCCGAUACCCGAGAUAUGGAUGAAGCCAGACAGUGGGGGUUACAGCCAGUGCAUUGUACGCCCAAAGAAUCAGCGCAGGACUGACAAUGCGACUGUCGGUUAUCUGAUUGUCGACGCAAACGGCGGGCUAAACCAGAUGAGAAUGGGGAUCAGUGAUAUGGUUGCAGUGGCAAAGAUCAUGAACGCGACACUAGUAAUCCCCACUCUGGACCAUCAGUCAUUCUGGACUGAUCCAAGUGACUUCAAAGAUAUAUUCGACGUGGAUCACUUCAGGGAAACAUUGAAGGAGGACAUUGUGGUUGUAGAUUCCCUACCACCAGCUUAUAGGAGGGUGAAGCCCUACGCAAGAGCACCCACAUCCUGGUCCAGGGCUUCCUUUUACAGAGAUUUCUCAAAGAUACUGAAGAAGUACCAAGUAGUGAGAUUUACCCAUACGGAUUCACGGAUUGUCAACAACGGCCUCGCUCCUUCUCUCCAAAGGCUUCGAUGCCGUGCAAACUACAAAGCGCUUCAGUACAGGAAAGUGAUUGAAGAACUUGGUACUACCCUUGUUGAGAGACUGAAAAGGGGAUCGGACCAUUACAUCGCACUUCACUUAAGAUACGAGAAGGACAUGCUGGCUUUCACUGGCUGCAACCACAACCUGACACUUCAUGAGGCAGACGAGCUGACUGAUAUGCGACUCAAAGUGAGACACUGGAAGGAGAAGGAGAUCAACAGCGAGGAGAAGCGGCUCCAGGGCGGGUGUCCCAUGACGCCUCGCGAAGCUGCUGUGUUCCUCAAAGCCAUGGGAUAUCCUUCAAGCACUAAAAUUUACAUUGUGGCAGGUGAAAUUUACGGGGCACACAGCAUGGAUGCGCUGAAAGCAGAAUACCCAAACAUUUACACACACUACAGUCUAGCCACAGUAGAUGAACUAGAGCCGCUCGAGUUGUACCAGAACAGGCUAGCUGCUGUGGACUAUAUCGUGGCCCUGCAGAGCGAUGUCUUUGUGUAUACAUACGACGGAAAUAUGGCCAGGGCAGUUCAGGGUCACCGAAGAUUCGAAGGUUUCAGAAAAACUAUAAACCCCGACAGGCUGAAGUUUGUAGAGCUCAUUGACAAACUCGACGACGGUUCCAUGCCCUGGAAUGAAUUCCAAAGUGAAGUGAGGAAGCAUCAUGAGGAUAGACUUGGAGGUCCAUAUGACAGAUUACCUGGUGAGAGUCCAAGACAGGAGGAAUACUUCUACUCAAACCCUAUCCCGGGAUGCCUGUGCAAAAAGGUGCAGAGAGUAAAGUGAAGCAGGUUUAUCUCAAAGGGAAAUGGUUCGGUCUUCAGAGACGCUGCUGCUGGCUUGGUAGCAGGUGUAACACGGAUGGAGAUGACACUUCCUCCACAUGACAGGGGUGGCCGAAUAGAGAGGAUCCUUAGUUAACUGACAGAGACCAGCCAUUUUGAUUUUGAUUCUUUCCUAGGCUGACUACACAUGUAGUUGAGGGCAUGGGGCCAAGAAGUGCAUUGCUGAGAGGAAACUUUUUCCGAUGGAAAGAUGGAACGAGCGCAGAGAUGUCGAAGUACUUGAAGGAUCAUACCGGCAAUUAUAUAGGAACAGCUAAAGUGAAAACACGUUAGGUCGAGGUCAUACACUCUCCUCGUGCUCGUGAUGCUUCCAAUUCGUUGUAGCUAGCAGUGACAUUGAACACUGGGUGGGUUAGUAAGAAUAAUGUAUCAUGCUAUGUUUUCCAGCUGUAGAAAUCUGCUACCAGUGUAGACUGACAAUUGUCAAAAUACUUCUUAGUCUAGUUCAGAGCAAUAAAUUUUUUGUAAAUUUUAUAUAGGAUGUCACCUGACUGUAGCUGCUAGUAAAUUCCAUAAAAAAUAUUUAAAAAAAUGUCCGCAAAUGUGUGCUCCUUUAUACAGUCGAUGAUAUGGGCAGAUAUUAUCUCCUUCUUGAGGGUCUUAGAAAUUACAGAGAAAGGCAUAAAAAAUGUUGGAGGCAGACUAAUUGAACCAUAAACUUUCGACGCGAUCAGCCGCCCUGAAUACCUGGUUCUAUCCCCAAAUCGAUGUGAUAAUCUGGAUUGCGGAGGGGAUCUGGUCGCGACCGUCAACGAGGCGAACAUAAAGCAAGGACGGGGAAGAGAUAGACCUGAAGCUGUCGCCGUGCUCGCCAGCAUCAUCCGCCACCAUCCGCCGUGCAGCCGAAACCGCGUCGGCGUUGACCGAGCUGACUGGUUGCAGCCCCACGGGCCGCCGGCGUGACGCUUGGAGAGCAUUUUAUUCCUGGAUAAAUCCAAAUCCG
Molecule: ribosomal RNA, 3115 nt
Filed under: Triticum aestivum (bread wheat)
Lineage: Eukaryota; Viridiplantae; Streptophyta; Magnoliopsida; Poales; Poaceae
Description: partial small subunit ribosomal RNA
Source: RNAcentral